Molecule: small RNA, 106 nt
Filed under: Flavobacterium araucananum
Lineage: Bacteria; Pseudomonadati; Bacteroidota; Flavobacteriia; Flavobacteriales; Flavobacteriaceae
Description: Flavo-1 RNA
Rfam family: Flavo-1 RNA
Source: RNAcentral
CUGCGUUAAGGAUGGAAGCGGUAUCCUUUUUGCGAUAAACUAAAUUUCUGGCGAAGCCCAACUAAUACCCAAAUCGCAAAAGAUUUAGCGUACGGCCUGACCCGGA